AGUAGGGUGGUAUAUUCUCUUUAAGUAUUUGGUGUGAUAUUCUCUUUAAGUAUUUUAUCCAGUUCUAUUGUCCUGUAUAUCCAGUAAGUUUUGUUUUUCCAGUUGGUAUAAUUAGUUUAGUUUAUAGUUUAAACAUGUUAUUUUAACAUGGUGAGUAGUAUUCUGUUACUUAGAUACUGUCCUAACAUCAUGUUUCACCUUUAGUCACUUUUUCUUAGAUCUCCAUCUUGAAGGCAACAAUUUCUUUCCACAGCACUGCAUUUACUAAUUCGGUGUUUCUCUCUUUUGUACCUGUAUAUGGUUUCCUUAUACAUUAUUAGUUCUAAUUCUUCAUUUCUUAAGAGCACCUUUAUCAGGUGCUCUUCUUCUUGUCUUCUACUUGUUCUUCUUUCUGUAAAUAAUUGGCUGUUUUGUUCCUGUGUAUUGUAAAUAAACUGUAUAGCUGUGUUCCUGUCUUUGUCUCUUUUCGUUCAACCCGCGACCUGGAAAGGGGAUAGUCCGUUGUCCAUCGAUCCUGCUACAAAAUGGCGCCCAACGUGAUUUAAAGAGACAUUGUUCCAGUUUUGUGCUUUGUGAUCUGUGUUUUGUGUUUGUGUAUUUAUUGGAUUUUAUUUCGCGGGAAUCAGCGCUGUAAUCUAUCUCCAUCUUGAAGGCAACAAUUUCUUUCCACAGCACUGCAUUUACUAAUUCGGUGUUUCUCUCUUUUGUACCUGUAUAUGGUUUCCUUAUACAUUAUUAGUUCUAAUUCUUCAUUUCUUAAGAGCACCUUUAUCAGGUGCUCUUCUUCUUGUCUUCUACUUGUUCUUCUUUCUGUAAAUAAUUGGCUGUUUUGUUCCUGUGUAUUGUAAAUAAACUGUAUAGCUGUGUUCCUGUCUUUGUCUCUUUUCGUUCAACCCGCGACCUGGAAAGGGGAUAGUCCGUUGUCCAUCGAU
Patella vulgata (common limpet) is the source of this 932-nucleotide long non-coding RNA. RefSeq lists it as uncharacterized. The record is from RefSeq and is a predicted model, not a curated record. The transcript is spliced from 6 exons. Lineage: Eukaryota; Metazoa; Mollusca; Gastropoda; Patellidae.